ACGAACGCUGGCGGCAGGCUUAACACAUGCAACUCGAGCGCCCCGCAAGGGGAGCGGCAGCCGGGUGAGUAACGCGUGGGAACGUACCUUUUGGUUCGGAACAACUCCGGGAAACUGGAGCUAAUACCGGAUAAGCCCUAACGGGGAAAGAUUUAUCGCCGAAAGAUCGGCCCGCGUCUGAUUAGCUAGUUGGUGAGGUAACGGCUCACCAAGGCGACGAUCAGUAGCUGGUCUGAGAGGAUGAUCAGCCACACUGGGACUGAGACACGGCCCAGACUCCUACGGGAGGCAGCAGUGGGGAAUAUUGGACAAUGGGCGCAAGCCUGAUCCAGCCAUGCCGCGUGAGUGAUGAAGGCCUUAGGGUUGUAAAGCUCUUUUGUCCGGGAAGAUAAUGACUGUACCGGAAGAAUAAGCCCCGGCUAACUUCGUG
Molecule: ribosomal RNA, 430 nt
Filed under: uncultured bacterium
Lineage: Bacteria
Description: partial 16S ribosomal RNA
Rfam family: Bacterial small subunit ribosomal RNA
Source: RNAcentral